This 422-nucleotide ribosomal RNA is filed under the name uncultured bacterium. RNAcentral describes it as "bacterial SSU rRNA". It matches the Rfam family "Bacterial small subunit ribosomal RNA", at positions 355 to 774 of the family's 1533-position model. The record is from RNAcentral.
UGUGGAAUAUUGGUCAAUGGGGGCAACCCUGAACCAGCCAAGUCGCGUGAAGGAUGAAGGUCUUAUGGAUUGUAAACUUCUUUUAUACAGGAAUAAAUUGGGGGACGUGUCCCCUUUUGCAUGUACUGUAUGAAUAAGGAUCGGCUAACUCCGUGCCAGCAGCCGCGGUAAUACGGAGGAUCCGAGCGUUAUCCGGAUUUAUUGGGUUUAAAGGGUGCGCAGGCGGGAUGUUAAGUCGGCGGUGAAAUUUUGCAGCUCAACUGUAAAAGUGCCUUCGAUACUGGCUUCCUUGAGUGUAGAUGAAGUAGGCGGAAUUUGUGGUGUAGCGGUGAAAUGCUUAGAUAUCACGAGGAACUCCGAUUGCGCAGGCAGCUUACUAAGCCACAACUGACGCUCAUGCACGAAGGCGUGGGGAUCAAACA